RNAcentral lists this transfer RNA (71 nucleotides) under Phakopsora pachyrhizi. RNAcentral describes it as "tRNA-Ser". It matches the Rfam family "tRNA". From Rfam's summary of the family: Transfer RNA (tRNA) molecules are approximately 80 nucleotides in length. The record is from RNAcentral. Lineage: Eukaryota; Fungi; Basidiomycota; Pucciniomycetes; Pucciniales; Phakopsoraceae.
GCGCACUUAGCUCAAUGGAAGAGCAUCAAUCAUGAAAUUUGAGGUUGUGGGUUUGAUUCCCACAGUGCACA